RNAcentral lists this long non-coding RNA (231 nucleotides) under Nicotiana benthamiana. RNAcentral's name for it is "long non-coding RNA (NBEN_LNC041907)". The record is from RNAcentral. Lineage: Eukaryota; Viridiplantae; Streptophyta; Magnoliopsida; Solanales; Solanaceae.
GAUUUUGAUUUAGUUUUCUAGAUUUUGUAUUUCAAAUUUUGUAUAUCUAGGUAAGUAUAUACUUAAUAUAUGCAAUAGACUCUUUGUUGUAUUCGGCUCAAUCCUUUUAGUAAAAGAUUGGGCCGAGUUUAAUUACAAUUCAAUUAAGAGAACGAAGGAUAAUUACUUGAGUUAUUUCUCCUUAUCCUUCUUUAUUUCCUGCUAAUUUAUCUGCUAAUGUCUAUUGUUUUA